RNAcentral lists this ribosomal RNA (460 nucleotides) under uncultured bacterium. RNAcentral describes it as "partial 16S ribosomal RNA". It matches the Rfam family "Bacterial small subunit ribosomal RNA", at positions 338 to 795 of the family's 1533-position model. The record is from RNAcentral.
CCUACGGGAGGCAGCAGUGAGGAAUAUUGGUCAAUGGACGAGAGUCUGAACCAGCCAAGUAGCGUGAAGGAUGACUGCCCUAUGGGUUGUAAACUUCUUUUAUAUGGGAAUAAAACGUUCCACGUGUGGGAUUUUGUAUGUACCAUCUGAAUAAGGAUCGGCUAACUCCGUGCCAGCAGCCGCGGUAAUACGGAGGAUCCGAGCGUUAUCCGGAUUUAUUGGGUUUAAAGGGAGCGUAGGUGGAUUGUUAAGUCAGUUGUGAAAGUUUGCGGCUCAACCGUAAAAUUGCAUUUGAAACUGGCAGUCUUGAGUACAGUAGAGGUGGGCGGAAUUCGUGGUGUAGCGGUGAAAUGCUUAGAUAUCACGAAGAACUCCGAUUGCGAAGGCAGUUCACUGGACUGCAACUGACACUGAGGCUCGAAAGUGUGGGUAUCAAACAGGAUUAGAUACCCGUGUAGUC